CAGUAGCCGCGGUAAUACAGAGGGUGCGAGCGUUAAUCGGAUUUACUGGGCGUAAAGCGUGCGUAGGCGGCUUUUUAAGUUGGAUGUGAAAUCCCUGAGCUUAACUUAGGAAUUGCAUUCGAUACUGGGAAGCUAGAGUAUGGGAGAGGAUGGUAGAAUUCCAGGUGUAGCGGUGAAAUGCGUAGAGAUCUGGAGGAAUACCGAUGGCGAAGGCAGCCAUCUGGCCUAAUACUGACGCUGAGGUACGAAAGCAUGGGGAGCAAACAGGAUUAGAUACCCGUGUAGUCCCUGUCUCUUAUAC
RNAcentral lists this ribosomal RNA (301 nucleotides) under uncultured bacterium. RNAcentral's name for it is "partial 16S ribosomal RNA". It matches the Rfam family "Bacterial small subunit ribosomal RNA", at positions 509 to 807 of the family's 1533-position model. The record is from RNAcentral.